RNAcentral lists this ribosomal RNA (427 nucleotides) under uncultured bacterium. RNAcentral's name for it is "bacterial SSU rRNA". It matches the Rfam family "Bacterial small subunit ribosomal RNA", at positions 355 to 774 of the family's 1533-position model. The record is from RNAcentral.
UGGGGAAUUUUGGACAAUGGGCGCAAGCCUGAUCCAGCCAUUCCGCGUGCAGGACGAAGGCCUUCGGGUUGUAAACUGCUUUUGUACGGAACGAAAAGGCUCUGGCUAAUACCUGGGGCUCAUGACGGUACCGUAAGAAUAAGCACCGGCUAACUACGUGCCAGCAGCCGCGGUAAUACGUAGGGUGCAAGCGUUAAUCGGAAUUACUGGGCGUAAAGCGCGCGUAGGCCGUCUUUUAAGUCGGACGUGAAAGCCCUCGGCUCAACCGGGGAACUGCGUUCGAUACUGGGAGACUUGAGUCCUGGAGAGNGUGGCGGAAUUCCGGGUGUAGGAGUGAAAUCCGUAGAUAUCCGGAGGAACACCGGUGGCGAAGGCGGCCACCUGGACAGGUACUGACGCUGAGGCGCGAAAGCGUGGGGAGCAAACA